RNAcentral lists this ribosomal RNA (253 nucleotides) under uncultured bacterium. RNAcentral describes it as "partial 16S ribosomal RNA". It matches the Rfam family "Bacterial small subunit ribosomal RNA", at positions 524 to 776 of the family's 1533-position model. The record is from RNAcentral.
UACGUAGGGUGCGAGCGUUGUCCGGAAUUAUUGGGCGUAAAGGGCUCGUAGGCGGUCUGUUGCGUCGGGAGUGAAAACUCAGGGCUUAACCCUGAGCCUGCUUCCGAUACGGGCAGACUAGAGGUAUGCAGGGGAGAACGGAAUUCCUGGUGUAGCGGUGAAAUGCGCAGAUAUCAGGAGGAACACCGGUGGCGAAGGCGGGUCUCUGGGCAGUCACUGACGCUGAGGGGCGAAAGCGUGGGGAGCGAACAGG